CUGGAUUGGUCCUCAACAAUUCAUCCUUGUAGUAAAGUAUUCUUCCAAAUUCCACAACAUGAUCACCCACCAUAUCUUUCAACACUUUAGCUCUUGCUCUUCUCAUAGUAGUCUUUUUAACAUGAAGUUUAAAUUUUUUCCUAAUCAUCUCCUGCAACUUGAAGACUCUUAUGUUUAGUUGCUCAAUUAUUCUUUCUCUGAAGGCUUCAGAUAAAAACUUGCAUUGCACAAGUAAUUUCUAGUUGUCUUGUUGCAAGUAUGCUUUGGAUUGUAAGUUUUUGUCAUAAAAUUAUUUAUUGUCUUGUCAAGACAUCCAUACAAAGCCA
RNAcentral lists this long non-coding RNA (326 nucleotides) under Solanum tuberosum (potato). RNAcentral describes it as "long non-coding RNA (STUB_LNC006550)". Lineage: Eukaryota; Viridiplantae; Streptophyta; Magnoliopsida; Solanales; Solanaceae. The record is from RNAcentral.